GGGAGUGAUGGUCUAUCGAGACAUGAUAGCCAAUCAAGGGGUUACUGCUAGUGUCUUGUUUUGCGAAGUCAAUCGGCCAAUGCUUUAUGCUAUAAAGCAACUUGUUCAUGGCUAAUUAGUUGUUCAUUGUGUCAAAAGUGUGAAUUUAGGAGUUGUAUUUAACGUGCUCUUGUCAUUUCAGGAGUUUUAUGACUGCUCUACAUCGUGUGGGUGGUGAAACACUUUGGUUAACAUCUCUCCGACUAUCAAUUUCGUGUGCUUGCAAUGAUCGCAGAUGGUAUGAAUGUUGUGGCUGUUGAAGGUGGAAGCAGAUUUAUCAAGCGGUAUGCAAAGGUGUUCGACAUAAACUGCGUUGAGGCUGUGAAAGAGGAGGAAGAAGAUGAAGAGAAAAAUGAUGCAUAGCCUCCUCACAAGUGUGUUGGUGUGGCAAGUAAGUGUUAGUUCAUGAAUGCAUGGCUGAAGCUGCUAGUCAAAGUUCUUUGAUGAUGACUACUGACUAGUAGUAAUUGGACGGAGGCUGUACUCAUGGAAGUAUUUUGGAUUGUUUAUCGUUACUACUUUUACUCUUUUAGUAGUUUUGCAAGUGUACUGGGAUCAUUAAUGAUAUUUGUAUAAAUAUCAUAAAUGACAUGUUCACUGAAACAUUUUAUCCAUGGUGUAAACGUCACACUAAAUUUGCUUAAAGUGAGUCAUCUUUGUA
Molecule: long non-coding RNA, 700 nt
Organism: Argentina anserina (silverweed cinquefoil)
Lineage: Eukaryota; Viridiplantae; Streptophyta; Magnoliopsida; Rosales; Rosaceae
Exons: 2
Source: RefSeq, a predicted model, not a curated record